AUCAGAGUCUUUAUCCGACUCAAACGGGACCGAAAAGCCAAACAGGUUCUGAGAAAAUUGCCCAGUCUAACCAAACUACAAAAAGUCUCCUGCGUCUGAAUUUGACAAAAAAAAGACAUUUAUUUCCUUCCAUUUGAUUGGCCGGGAGGAGGCACUCAAAAUCUAAUUAAAAUUCGAGCAUCGGCGUGGCGUAUUAGCUUCUGCUUGAAAG
Molecule: long non-coding RNA, 211 nt
Filed under: Zea mays
Lineage: Eukaryota; Viridiplantae; Streptophyta; Magnoliopsida; Poales; Poaceae
Description: long non-coding RNA NONZMAT000078
Source: RNAcentral